RNAcentral lists this ribosomal RNA (253 nucleotides) under uncultured bacterium. RNAcentral's name for it is "partial 16S ribosomal RNA". It matches the Rfam family "Bacterial small subunit ribosomal RNA", at positions 524 to 776 of the family's 1533-position model. The record is from RNAcentral.
UACGUAGGGUGCAAGCGUUGUCCGGAAUUAUUGGGCGUAAAGAGCUCGUAGGCGGUCUGUUGCGUCCGCUGUGAAAACUCGGGGCUUAACCCCGAGCCUGCAGUGGAUACGGGCAGACUAGAGGUAGGUAGGGGAGAAUGGAAUUCCCGGUGUAGCGGUGAAAUGCGCAGAUAUCGGGAGGAACACCGGUGGCGAAGGCGGUUCUCUGGGCAUUACCUGACGCUGAGGAGCGAAAGUGUGGGGAGCGAACAGG